AGUGAACGCUGGCGGUAGGCCUAACACAUGCAAGUCGAACGGCAGCACAGUAAGAGCUUGCUCUUACGGGUGGCGAGUGGCGGACGGGUGAGGAAUACAUCGGAAUCUACUUUUUCGUGGGGGAUAACGUAGGGAAACUUACGCUAAUACCGCAUACGACCUACGGGUGAAAGCAGGGGAUCUUCGGACCUUGCGCGAUUGAAUGAGCCGAUGUCGGAUUAGCUAGUUGGCGGGGUAAAGGCCCACCAAGGCGACGAUCCGUAGCUGGUCUGAGAGGAUGAUCAGCCACACUGGAACUGAGACACGGUCCAGACUCCUACGGGAGGCAGCAGUGGGGAAUAUUGGACGAUGGGCGCAAGCCUGAUCCAGCCAUACCGCGUGGGUGAAGAAGGCCUUCGGGUUGUAAAGCCCUUUUGUUGGGAAAGAAAAGCAGCAGGUUAAGACCCCGCUGUUCUGACGGUACCCAAAGAAGAAGCACCGGCUAACUUCGU
This 491-nucleotide ribosomal RNA is filed under the name uncultured bacterium. RNAcentral's name for it is "partial 16S ribosomal RNA". It matches the Rfam family "Bacterial small subunit ribosomal RNA", at positions 29 to 506 of the family's 1533-position model. The record is from RNAcentral.